This 1325-nucleotide long non-coding RNA is filed under the name Homo sapiens (human). RNAcentral's name for it is "novel transcript, antisense to GAB1". The record is from RNAcentral. Lineage: Eukaryota; Metazoa; Chordata; Mammalia; Primates; Hominidae.
UGCUCAAGAUUAAACAGAGCACUGAAUCUAGGAUGAGGAAAGAAUUUUUUCCUCAGGGGAAGAAAGGGGUGUGGGAUUUCCAAAUGUGCACUACAGUAGGAUCAGCUGUGUGGAUCAGGAUUUCUCCAAGAAUAACCUAAGGACCAUCUACUUCAGAAUCAGCAGGGGUUCAAGUUAGAAACUGCAGUUUUCUGGACCUCUACCCAGACUUAAUAAAAACAUUAGAAGGAGGGUAGGGCCCAAGAAUCUUCACUUUAGAAGUUACCCAGUGAUUGUUAUGCACACUGAAGUUUAAGGACCACUGACUGCUCUAGACCCUUGUUUUUUCCCAACCAAAUGACACAAGGACUCUGCCAAGCUAUAAGUAUCUUAAGAUCAUCUGAAAAGAGAAAACUCCUUAACAGUUCUCUCUUUGCAUUCCUUCUAUUUGCCUUCCUUCUAAAAUACACAUGGAAGAGGAAAGAAAGCUUGGAGAGUGGGCUGAAUAUGAGACAUCAGCAUAAAUGCAGACUUGUCAGCCCUGCUCUGUGGCUGCUGCCAAUUACAGUAGCCAGACCUGCAAGAGGACUUGAUUACAUGUAAUUUAUAAAAAGUAAACAAGCUGGGUGGCUUGUGAACAAUGAAUGGUGAUAUUGCAGCCAAGAGGUAAUAAAAUGCAUGAAUAAAUGACUCAGCAUCCCCCUACCAGACAACAAUUGGCUGUACUCUAAGCUAGGAGAGCAAAGUAAAAAUGAGUAUUUUGGUAAUGAUUUAAAUGACAACAGAUCCUUGGAGAGAGAAUUUGCCUAUCACCUAAACCCUCUAGUGAUCAAAGGCUCAGCCAUCUCAAUGACUGUUUUUCUCAAACAUUACUUCAGUCAGAAAAAUAAAUGUUUGCUUCCGGUGCUAUGACACAAUCCAACUGGCAACAUAGGGAAAUAUACUAAAUGAAUAAAAUAAAUGUAAGAACCAAGCUUUAUGAACCCCUCUAUAUGAGGAUUUCUCAACUUCAGCACACUGAUAUUCUGAGCCAGAUAAAUCUGUGCAAUAGAGUGUUUAGUAGCAUCCCUGCUUCUACCCACUAGAUACCAGAAGCAUUCCUCCCUCCAGCUGUAGCAACCAAAAUGUCUCCAGAAAUUGUCAAAUUGUUAUGGAAGUGCUGGGACGGGAAGAGCCUGGUCCCUUUAAAUGAUAUGGAAGUGGGGAAGGGAAGUGCCUGGUAGAGGAAGGCGUGGUCCCUGACUAGGGAUCCAUCCCCACGAACCUAGGUGAGGAUAGGCACUCCAGCCUUGCCGCCGAAAGGUCACCUUUCCAAGACCACCCUGGCCGGCCACGCCCCCAUCCUG